Molecule: ribosomal RNA, 253 nt
Filed under: uncultured bacterium
Lineage: Bacteria
Description: partial 16S ribosomal RNA
Rfam family: Bacterial small subunit ribosomal RNA
Source: RNAcentral
UACGAAGGGGGCUAGCGUUGCUCGGAAUUACUGGGCGUAAAGGGCGCGUAGGCGGCACUGUUAGUCAGGCGUGAAAGUCCUGGGCUCAACCUAGGAACUGCGCUUGAUACGGCAGAGCUAGAGGAUGGAAGAGGCUCGCGGAAUUCCCAGUGUAGAGGUGAAAUUCGUAGAUAUUGGGAAGAACACCGGUGGCGAAGGCGGCGAGCUGGUCCAUUACUGACGCUGAGGCGCGACAGCGUGGGGAGCAAACAGG